AUUGCAUAUUGCUCUUCACGAGGAAUGCCUAGUAGGCACGAGUCAUCAGCUCGUGCCGAUUACGUCCCUGCCCUUUGUACACACCGCCCGUCGCUACUACCGAUUGAAUGGCUCAGUGAGGCCUUCGGACUGGCUCAGGAGGGUUGGCAACGACCCCCCAGAGCCGGAAAGUUGGUCAAACUCGGUCAUUUAGAGGAAGUAAAAGUCGUAACAAGGUUUCCGUAGGUGAACCUGCGGAAGGAUCAUUACCGAGUGAGGGCCCUCUGGGUCCAACCUCCCACCCGUGUUUAUCGUACCUUGUUGCUUCGGCGGGCCCGCCGCAAGGCCGCCGGGGGGCUUCCGUCCCCGGGUCCGCGCCCGCCGAAGACACCUGUGAACGCUGUCUGAAGAUUGCAGUCUGAGCGAAAAGCUAAAAUGUAUUAAAACUUUCAACAACGGAUCUCUUGGUUCCGGCAUCGAUGAAGAACGCAGCGAAAUGCGAUAAGUAAUGUGAAUUGCAGAAUUCAGUGAAUCAUCGAGUCUUUGAACGCACAUUGCGCCCCCUGGUAUUCCGGGGGGCAUGCCUGUCCGAGCGUCAUUGCUGCCCUCAAGCACGGCUUGUGUGUUGGGCCUCUCGUCCCUCCCGGGACGGGCCCGAAAGGCAGCGGCGGCACCGCGUCCGGUCCUCGAGCGUAUGGGGCUUCGUCACCCGCUCCGUAGGCCCGGCCGGCGCCUGCCGGCACCAUCAAUCUUGUUUUUCCAGGUUGACCUCGGAUCAGGUAGGGAUACCGCUGAACUUAAGCAUAUCAAUAAGCGGAGGAAAAGAAACCAACAGGGAUUGCCUCAGUAACGGCGAGUGAAGCGGCAAGAGCUCAAAUUUGAAAGCUGGCUCCUUCGGGGUCCGCAUUGUAAUUUGCAGAGGAUGCUUCGGGAGCGGCCCCCAUCUAAGUGCCCUGGAACGGGCCGUCAUAGAGGGUGAGAAUCCCGUAUGGGAUGGGGUGCCCGCGACCAUGUGAAGCUCCUUCGACGAGUCGAGUUGU
Molecule: ribosomal RNA, 1019 nt
Filed under: Parengyodontium album
Lineage: Eukaryota; Fungi; Ascomycota; Sordariomycetes; Hypocreales; Cordycipitaceae
Description: eukaryotic LSU rRNA
Rfam family: Eukaryotic small subunit ribosomal RNA (bases 1-248)
Source: RNAcentral